This 727-nucleotide ribosomal RNA is filed under the name Streptomyces sp. Its description in RNAcentral is "bacterial SSU rRNA". It matches the Rfam family "Bacterial small subunit ribosomal RNA", at positions 137 to 876 of the family's 1533-position model. Lineage: Bacteria; Bacillati; Actinomycetota; Actinomycetes; Kitasatosporales; Streptomycetaceae. The record is from RNAcentral.
UCUGGGACAAGCCCUGGAAACGGGGUCUAAUACCGGAUAACACUCCUGCCUGCAUGGGCGGGGGUUAAAAGCUCCGGCGGUGAAGGAUGAGCCCGCGGCCUAUCAGCUUGUUGGUGGGGUAAUGGCCUACCAAGGCGACGACGGGUAGCCGGCCUGAGAGGGCGACCGGCCACACUGGGACUGAGACACGGCCCAGACUCCUACGGGAGGCAGCAGUGGGGAAUAUUGCACAAUGGGCGAAAGCCUGAUGCAGCGACGCCGCGUGAGGGAUGACGGCCUUCGGGUUGUAAACCUCUUUCAGCAGGGAAGAAGCGAAAGUGACGGUACCUGCAGAAGAAGCGCCGGCUAACUACGUGCCAGCAGCCGCGGUAAUACGUAGGGCGCAAGCGUUGUCCGGAAUUAUUGGGCGUAAAGAGCUCGUAGGCGGCCAGUCGCGUCGGGUGUGAAAGACCGGGGCUUAACCCCGGUUCUGCAUUCGAUACGGGCUGGCUAGAGUGUGGUAGGGGAGAUCGGAAUUCCUGGUGUAGCGGUGAAAUGCGCAGAUAUCAGGAGGAACACCGGUGGCGAAGGCGGAUCUCUGGGCCAUUACUGACGCUGAGGAGCGAAAGCGUGGGGAGCGAACAGGAUUAGAUACCCUGGUAGUCCACGCCGUAAACGGUGGGAACUAGGUGUUGGCGACAUUCCACGUCGUCGGUGCCGCAGCUAACGCAUUAAGUUCCCCGCCUGG